GACGAACGCUGGCGGCGUGCUUAACACAUGCAAGUCGAACGGAAAGGCCCUGCUUUUGUGGGGUGCUCGAGUGGCGAACGGGUGAGUAACACGUGAGUAACCUGCCCUUGACUUUGGGAUAACUUCAGGAAACUGGGGCUAAUACCGGAUAGGAGCUCCUGCUGCAUGGUGGGGGUUGGAAAGUUUCGGCGGUUGGGGAUGGACUCGCGGCUUAUCAGCUUGUUGGUGGGGUAGUGGCUUACCAAGGCUUUGACGGGUAGCCGGCCUUAGAGGGUGACCGGCCACCUUGGGCCUGCGGUACGGCCCAGACUCCUACGGGGGGCAGCAGUGGGGAAUAUUGCCCAAUGGGCGGAAGCCUGAUGCAGCAACGCCGCGUGCGGGAUGCCGGCCUUCGGGUUGUAAACCGCUUUCGCCUGUGACGAAGCGUGAGUGACGGUAAUGGGUAAAGAAGCACCGGCUAACUUCGUG
RNAcentral lists this ribosomal RNA (468 nucleotides) under uncultured bacterium. Its description in RNAcentral is "partial 16S ribosomal RNA". It matches the Rfam family "Bacterial small subunit ribosomal RNA", at positions 28 to 507 of the family's 1533-position model. The record is from RNAcentral.